Molecule: long non-coding RNA, 11192 nt
Filed under: Lynx pardinus (Iberian lynx)
Lineage: Eukaryota; Metazoa; Chordata; Mammalia; Carnivora; Felidae
Source: RNAcentral
AAUGGUUUCUAUGGACGUGGCUCUGAUUCAGCCAGCAGAACAAGAGGUGGCUCAAUAACAAACAUGUCCUGUAACACCUGUUUUCAGAAAUAUGCAGAAACAAGAUUUGACAUCUUCGGAACCAGAAACUAGUCUAUGGAAAACUCUUCCAACCAUUGUACGUAUGGAGUUUUAAGCCUGUAAGUCUAUUCUACUCCACGCCUGUUUAAAAUGGAAGCUCUCUCUUAUAGGGAAUAUACUCAAUAAGGCAACAUAGAAAAUUGUAAUAUACAAACAGAUAUAAAUACAUCUUUUUAAAAAACGGUUUCGAGAAAUAUAUUUUAGGGGCGCCUGGGUGGCGCAGUCGGUUAAGCGUCCGACUUCAGCCAGGUCACGAUCUCGCGGUCCGGGAGUUCGAGCCCCGCGUCAGGCUCUGGGCUGAUGGCUCGGAGCCUGGAGCCUGUUUCCGAUUCUGUGUCUCCCUCUCUCUCUGCCCCUCCCCCGUUCAUGCUCUGUCUCUCUCUGUCCCAAAAUAAAUAAAAAACGUUGAAAAAAAAUUUAAAAAAAUAUAUAUUUUACUAGAAUUCUGUGUAAUAAGGCACAAACUGUAGGAGUGCAGUGUGUGAAUUAAAUGCUUUCUGCACCUCACUGUGUCACAUCUCAACUUAUGCCAUGUGUUUUAUACUGAUGGAGUCUGUAAAUUCUAGAUGCGUGCACCAAGAAAGACAAAAUUUUAGCAUGACUUUUUUUUUCUUAAUGUUUAUUCAUUUUUGAAAGAAAGAGCGCAAGUGGGGGAGGGGCAGAGAGAGAGGGAGACAGAGGAUCCAAAGCAGGCUCUUCACUGACAGCACAGAGCCCGAUGUGGGGCUUCAAUCCACAAACCAAGAGAUCAUGACCUGAGCCGAAGUCAGACGCUCAACCAACUGAGCCACCCAAGUGCCCCUAGGAUGACUUUUAUAUGAACUACAUCAGAUGAUACAAAACUCAAUUUACCACUACAGUAAGAACAUCCAUGACAAGCUGGAAAAUACGGUAUCGAUUCAAGAAAUAUUUAAGAUUAGACAUUGCACAAGAAAACUUAAAAUGCCUAGAAAUCUCCUGGCCCAGGACACCUGGCUGGCUCAGUCAGUAGAGCAUAUGACUCUUGAUCACAGUGUUGUGAAUUCAAGCACCACAUUGGGCGUGGAGCCUACUAAAAAAAAAAAAAAUAAAAAUAAAGAAGUAACAAGGUUUGUUUCUAUAGCCUUCUUGGCUUUAAAGUUCCUAUCUGGUGAUAAGGAUGUCUUUUUACUUCUUAGCACAGGGAGGGUACCUUUUGUAUGGGAGAUUUGUUUCCUGCUCUCCGGGGGACGGAGGAGGGUCUAAGUGUCUUGCACCUGCUGCUUCCCAAGUAGCUUCAGCUCAAAAUAAUCUAUAUUCCAUUGGGGUACCUUUUGGGCAGCCUGCCCCUCACCCCUACAACAUUGCUCUACCAGCAGUAUUAAUUGUUUGCAACUCAAGUAGCUUACUUGUGCAAAUUCUACACAACCAUAUGUCCAUACUAGAAGAAGAUUGGCAUCCCUUUCUAUUCUACGGAAGAAAACACACUAUCAGAAAAGCCUCCCUAUAGAUAGAUUUCUCUGCAUUUUUUUGCGUCUGACCCAUACUCUCCGCCCCUUAAGCACCGCUGUUGUAGUUUCCAGGCCCUUGUGGUUUCCCACCUGGACUCCUGCAGGGCCUUUCUAACUGCUCUUACUGGCCCCAGUCUCAUUCUCCUCAGAUCUGUCCUCCAGGGCGGUAUAAGAUGCACAUGUGACUGUGUCACUCUUUUAGGCCCAUCGUGAGCUCUCCAGGAUGAGGUUAAGCUCUUACCCUGCCCCAUCAGCCCAUGCCCCGCCUCUCCUUUUGCAAUGCAUGCAAGUCUUGCCUCUCUCAAAAUGUCAACUUGCUUACAAUCCAUCCUCCCCGUCCUACCCUGUCAUGUCCCCAUACCUUUGCUCAUGCUGUCCCCUCAGCCUGCAGAAGCCUUCUCUCCACUUUUCACCUUGGUUGCUCCUACUCAUCCUCCAAGACUCUGCUUAACUGUCAUCUUUUCUAGAAGCUCUCUGACCUCCUCUUUCACCCUAGUGGACUGAACACCUGCUCUCGUCUCUCUCCGCAGCCCCAAACUCCAAAAAUGAGAGGAAAGGACAAAAAUUGGUAUUUUUAAAAAAGAGGACAAGGAAUGUUCAGAGGAGCAGAAGCACUGAGGAAUUUCUGAGAGACUGAAAGUAGACAGGAUGAGAUAUAACAUUUCAGCCGAGCACAUGAGCAAACGGUGCUUAUAUUCUGGAGUGUGUAUCCUGUACUGUACAUUACACCUCAUAUUCUGGAAUGUGUAUACUGUACUAUAUAUUACAGAAGCAGGAGCAGCGACAAGGACACUCCAUGCCUGAGGUGGGGGAGGCCUGGGACAAGAAGGAGCUAACGGGCUAUUGAUUGGCAGGUGAGAUAAGCACCCCCUCGGGAGCAGCUAGAUGAGUGGACUCCUCAACAUCUCCUUAAAUCCAACCUUGGAGACAAGAUGGCCAUGACAGGAGUAUCUGUCUCUAGGUAUGAAGGAGUGAAGAUAGGACAAGGCCCAGAUGGAUGGCAAAGCCAAGGAAGAAAGGGUAGCAGCUAAGCUCCAAAGACCAAGUAUGAGAGCAUCCACCCAAGGAUCCAUCCUGCCCAUCCUGCACAUUCUGAAUGUGUGGUGCACACAUUUGCAAAGUGGCUUUCACCCCUUCAUCACAGUAAGUUACGCAAACAGAUCUUUUUUGCAGGAAAUCUCAUGGCCAAACAUGAGUUCACUACCAAAAAAUUAAAUACCCUUUGAGAAGCACCAACACCAUGAAAGGAAGAUUUAUAACUGAAGAAACAUAAUCAUUGCUAAUGUUUACUGAGCAUUUAUAUGCCAGGCACUAUUCUAAACAUACUGAAUAUAUUUAUUUUAAAAAAAUUUUAAGCUUACUUGUUUUGGGAGGGGGGAACAGAGAGAGAGAGGGAGAGAGAGAAUCCCAAGCAGGCUCUGCACCAUCAGAACAGAGCCUGACGUGGGGCUCAAACUCAUGAACCGUGAGAUCAUGACCUGAGCCGAAAUCAAGAGUCAGAUGCUUAACCGACUAAGCCAGCCACAGUGCCCCGUAUUACAUGUAUUUAAACUUUAGGGACACCUGGAUGGUUCAGUCAGUGAAGCGUCUGACUUCGGCUCAGGUCAUGAUCUCACAGUCGGUGAGUUCGAGCCCGCCUAGGGCUCUUUGGUGACAGCUCAGAGCCUGGAGCCUGCUUCGGAUUCUGGGUCUCCCUCUCUCCCUGGCCCUUCCCCUCUCGCGCUCUGUCUCUCUCUCUCUCAAAAAUAAAUAAACAUUGAAAAAAAUGUAAAAACUUUAACCCUACCAGAAAUCUUUUAGGGUAAGACUAUUUUUAUCCCAUUUUACAAAGGGGUAAGCUAAGGUGUAAGUGAUUAAGUAACUCCCUGCAAAGCCAUACAGCUUUACAGCCAUACAGCCAUACAAUUCUUCCUGCCUCCAGAGUCAAAGAUUAAAAAAAGCAAAUAGGACAACUGGUACUGAGCUUUGAAGUAAGUAUAACUAAUUUUCUCAAAUAAGAGAAGAUGAAAAAGAACCAAUUAGAGAUGUUGGAAAUGAAAAAUAUAUUUAUUUAAAAAAUUUUUUUUAAUGUUUAUUUAUUUUUGAGAAGGAGAGAGAGAGAGAGAGACAACGUGAGUGGGGGAGGGGCAGAGAGAGAGAGGGAGACACAGGAUCUGAAGCAGGCUCCAGGCUCUGAGCUUUCGGCACAGAGUCCAACAUGGGGCUCGAACCCAUGAACUGUGAGAUCAUGACCUGAGCCAAAGUUGGACGUUUAACUGACUGAACCACCCAGGCAUCUCCAAAAAUAUAUUUAUAAUUAAACAAAGAAAACCACGCCAAGUGGAUGAGCUAAGUAGUAGAACAUAUGCAGCUGAAGAACGAAUGAACUAGCAGAUUGGACAAAGCAAUUUUCCCUGAAAACAGAAAGGGAUUAAUAAAUAGAAUGGAGAAAAGAUAACAGACAUGGAAGAUAGUUCCAGAAGGGUCACGAUCCAUCCAUUAGGUGUUGCAGAAAGAGACUAGGGCAAUGGAUGUCCAGUGAAAUGUGGUUGAUUGGCAACACAAGUUUAUUUCCUCUCCCUCCCCAAAUCCCAACACCACGGCAAUAGAGGAAACCUGCAAAAACAAAAGGAACAAGAGAGAAGAAAAUGGUAGACAAAAUUUCAACACACUUUUUGAAGACAGAAAUUAUAUGGAGGAGUGGUAACUGAUUCGAUAGAAUGGAGGAUGCUUUAACUUGGGUGCACUAGAGGGAGAAAUCAAGAAGUCAGCUGAUUCUCCCCACCCACCCCCAGAAUCUCAGCCAGGCUUAGCCUUACAGAUGUAAGCUAGAGUAUGAGGCUGCAAUGAGUAUGGGAACAGGGACAUAGGCAGAAACCCUACUCAUUUUCCCUGCCCCCUUCAGCAGAGGUUCCCCCCACCUAUGGAGAAAGGGGACUCAUUUGUCAUAUAAAUUGAACUGUGGGGACUGCAGAAUGGGACAUGUAAGGCACAAUGAAUUUGUGAGGAGGAAGUAGAGUAUGGGGCUAAACAAGGAUCCAACAAAAAUCUGCAUAUUGAAUGCUGGGACCCUAGUCUCCAAGAAGGAGGCAAUCCGCAAACAGGGAACUGAAGGAUUCCCCUGGGGAGAAAAUGAGCCGCCCAGACAAAUGUCCUCCAGUGGCUGAUAUUUGCUGAUUCCCUCAAUGCAAAAGCUGAUUGAUGCUUAAACACCCUCCAGUGAACACUAUUGGUCAACAAGCCCUACAGCCAUGUAGAUUCCAUUUACCAUUGUGUGCCUCAUCCCUAAAUGCGAAUGUCCAGCCUAGGAUCACCAUCCUGGGAGGAAGGCCUCUGAAGAGGGUGAGCAACCGUCCUGGUUUGCCAGGGACCAAGGGGUUUCCCAGGACAUGGGACAUUCCUUACUAAAACUGGAAGGUGUCUGGCAAGCCAGGAUGAGCUGGUCGCCCUACUCCACAUGUGUGAGUAAGAUCCAUAUGCUUGGCUUUUGCUUAAUAAUCUGCAAGCCUGGCCCACUUGCCCAGCUCACAGCCUGUGAGCACAGUCAUCUGCUAUAAUUUGUAGGGUGUGGUGGCAAAAUCUGCCAAAAGUUAUAUUAAAUGGUUCGCGACUUUUGCUGAUCCUUUUCCAGCCUUUGACAUGAUAUAUAGGGGAAAAUACAGACUAUGCUAUUUGUAAUUGCGAGGUGGGUAAAACAAAGCUGGAUCAAAGAUGGCUUCUUUAACUUUUAACUUUACCGUUAACCACCUGAUACCACUUUUGGAUGGGUUAGAGGUAUGUUUUCCUACCUAGCUCGGUGCAGCCCGCCUGCCAGUGUGGGUUCCGAAGGGUCAGCAUCCAUGCCAUACAGGUUGUUAAAUGUGGUAGUACUGUGCCAUCCUGCUCUGUACUUGACAACAGAAAGCCAGGAGUUCUCUGGGAUGCAAAUUAUCUGCUUUUGACAUCAUGAACUCAGAAUGGUCUUAAUAGGCAAUCGAUACUGCUAUCUUAUUACCUCCAAAUACAAGGGCUACUGAUUUUGGAUCUGAAACAAUCAUUUGAAUAGAUACCCUCCAACCUUAGGGGAUUUAUAGAAAAGAAUUAUUAAUAGUAAAUUACCUUGUUUAGUUACCUUGGGAGUGCAUUUCACAACCAGUUUAACUAGCAGGGUCUGUUGUUCAAAACGAAAUGUGCUGCAGGUUUUUAUAUGUGUCGCCAAAUAGGGUGUAUGGUUACUCAUCUCCUGUACAGUUUCUCCAGGCUGAGUUUUAUUGCCAACACACGUUAUGAUGUGGAACUGCGGGGCCUCAGUUACUCACUUGUUGCAUUGUUAGGGAACUCUCAGUUUCUCCUAAAGCAGCUCGUGGCUCUGCCAGCAGGGACUCCCUUGACAACACACUUUGGAGGGGAUGUGUGUUGGCCUUUGCUCGAGGAACACGUUCUUGCUGGCACUUGAGUUUUCAUAAGAGGUUUGAAUCGAAGUUCCAGCUCCAUUUAUUAUGAAGGCAUGUGGCUCAUGUCUUAAAUGGCAAUGGAAAGUACCAACAUUCCAAGUAGAAUCUCAACCUCAUGGCCACAAUGUACUUUUUUAAAAAGCUUGGUUAAAAGAAAUGCUGUUUGUGGAUGAGUGCCUACAAAAUAUGUAUUUUAUUCAGUCUCUAGACACAUGUUCUUAAAUAUAUCACCAAUUCAGCCAGAGCAUCAGACUUGUGUGGUUGACUGCCUCUCUUGGCUUCUUGACGACCGACUUUUAGUGGAUUGUGUUUGGGUCAAUGGCCCUCAACCUCUACUGAGGGACAUUAUGCAAAAUAUGGCUUUGAACAUUGAUCCGUUGUCUGUUGUAGGGAUGCUGUUGAGCACAUUGCUUCUCAUGCCCACAGUGGCCUCUCCAUGAGGACCAUUUGUAGAAGUGAAUGCGCUAAUUGGUCUCAUGUAUCUGGAAUUAUGGAAUAGUUGCAUUUUUUUUUUUUAGCAACUUGCAAAUACUCUGGAUCUUAUAAUAGGUCAUAUUUCCGUCCCCUUAUAAUAGGUCACAUCUCCCUCUGCUGCUAGGUCUUAGAGCUAGGUUGAUAAACAAGCGUGAGACUGUACAAAGGGGACUAAUUAUUCACAUUGGCAUAGUUGGUGAAAUGGAAUCAGAGCACGGGUGUUGGCAAGGUUCUCUGGGGGAUGUGCCUGCCAUGUUGAGUGUCAGGGAAUCCCCCCCCUGGACAAGGGUUGGAGACCAACAUAGGUCUCUCCAAACCAUCUUAUAGAAGUGCCUGCAGAUUAUCCCUCUCAUGUAGGGUUGGGGUUAGGAUCAGGUAUAGUGGGGCGAUGACAUGGGGAGAGAGGCCCAUCUAGCUCUCUACCCUCUUCCCUCACCAGCUUUCUAUCUUUUAUCACACACGGCAUGGUUGGAAACAAAUGGGCACCAUAUGGGAAGUUAGGGGCCAAUUGCUUUCCAAUGCUUCACCCACCUCGGUCUCCAGAUCUAGAUUCCAGUGUUCACUUCUGUUAUGGGAGCCAGGGAACCGUAGAUGUUGAAAGUGUAGCUCUGGAGUCAGAGGGCCAAUUUCAAAUUCUGCCUCCAUGCUCAAUAGCUGAGUGGCCGUGGGUAAGAAAUGUCUCGUCAUCUGUAAGGUAGGAACGAAAACACUGCUUGCCAAACACGGUUGUUACGGAGACACAUUAUGUAACUACUGUGAAUCAUCUGCCACAGAGCUUGACGCAGCAGUAGAUGUUUGCUAUGAAGAAAUGCAUCAUGGUGGUUAAGAGUUUGGGCUUUGGAAUAGGAUAUACUGGGGUUCAAAUUCCAGCUCUUCCUGAGCCAGCUAUGAAACCUUGGGCAACUUUCUAACUUCUUUAGUCCUUAAUCUUUUUCUGUCUCCAAAUGGGACAAAUAAUACAUAUAAAACUCUUUUUUUAAAUUUUUUAAUAUUUAUUUAUUUUUGAGAGAGAGAGAGAGAGAGAGCAAGCAGGGGAGGGGCAGAGAGAGAGGGAGACACAGAAUCCAAAGCAGGCUCUAUGCUCUGAGCUAUCAGCACAGAGGCUCAAACUCACCAACCGUGAGACCAUGACCUGAGGCGAAGUUGGAUGCUUAACCAACUGAGCCACCCAGGUGCACCGCUGUACAUAUCAAACUCUUAACACACCAUUUAAUAUGAAGUGUGUGGUCUAUAAAUGAUUGCUCUAAUUUCUUACUUUACUGCCACCCCGGGAGAGAAUGUUGCUCAAGUCAAGCAGGCAGGAGGAAAUGCCUGAGAGUCCCCAGAGCUGCCAGCACUUUGGUAACAGGGGAACUUAUGUCCAUCUCUAACGUACUUUGGUAACAUAACCACUUAGAUUUAUUAUUUUCUCUGUGCUCAACAAUGAGCUAAGAGUUCUAUAUUUUUGUUUUACCUGGGACUAGGUGUGGUGGAUCUUUUGGGAGCCACCAGUGCUGUAUCAGUCUGGGUCCAGUCAGGAGACAGAAACCACAUAGGGGUUUAAGCAAUGGACGUGUAAUAUAAAGAAUAUUACGCGAUGGUGAAAGAGUAAUUAUAGGAUGUAAAGAGAGCCUUACAGGGCUACUCUCCCUACAGUUGAGGAAGGCUUCCCAAGGAAGGACAACCUCGGAAGGGGUCCACCUCUCCAAACUGUGGAUCAGGCCUUAUUGGAGAAAGAUUCAUGGCAGCCCCUGGGACGGCGGAGAAAUUUCCCGGUGCAUUGGCCGCAACUGCUCUUUGGUUGCCAGAUAAGGAUGAAGCAAUCUGCGGGAGCACAGGUGAGUCACAACCUGGAAGGUGGGGCUGCGGACAUGUAGAAGGAGUCAGGCAGCAGUGUUAGAUGGGCAGCACGGAACACACAGUGUCAGUGUCGGGAGGGUCAUGGGAAGGUGAUCACCAGGCUGGACAGGACUCUAAGGUCUCUGGGGGACCUCCUGGGCACGUAGCCGGGGAAGGGCACCAUAGGAUGUCCUACACUUGCCAAAACCAGCAGCAGAAGCCCCUUCUCAUGCAGAGUUCUCCCAGUACCCUCUGCAGAGAAGGCUCACUGUAAAGGAAAGAUGCUUAUGGGGAUUCUGCCCGUUAUCACACAGCACAUAUUCUUGGGUGAAUUUGGAGCUGAAAAGUAGUAAGUUGAUAACCAGCGGCAUUUGAAGAAAGUUGGAAACACAUACGUGUGGAUACAUAUGUUCAUGCGUGUGCAUAUAUGUGUACUAAUCCACCCUGCUUGGUGGGGUGGGGGUGGGGGUGGGGGGCGGAUACUUCUAGAAUGUUCACAGACCCUAAGUGAAGAACACCACUCAUGGUUCCCCACAGCCACAAGAAAGCCUCCAUAAAGCACUGAACUAACUCUCCGGGGGAGGUGGGGCAAGGUGGCAUGCAAGAAUCAACCAAGAGACUUCCAAAACCCUGUCCUAGUUAUGGAGGGUGACAUUUCUUCCUCCUUCUCCAUUCCCUUCUGUAUUGGUCAUGCACCCAAGGGAGACCUGAAGACUCCAGAAGGGCAAGGCCUUCUUUUUUUUUAUUUGCAUAGUCAUUUCCCCCAACCCCUAGCUAAUCUGUCAGCUUGGGCACACAGGGGGCAUUGUGCUCUGAACAUCAGGCUUCCUGGGUUACUACACAGACUCAAGGCCAGUCAUUUUCCUCCACCAACUAAACACCAAGCUACUUGUUGGGAGUGACAGACACCAGUUUCCAUACUUUCUACUGUUCAUGGCACACUAAGUUCCCACUCAUGGCCCUGCUGAGAGUAAGGGCCCAGAGGCUGAAAAUUCAUCUCUCGCCCUGCUCCAACCUCAUCGAAAGGGCCAGAUGUUGGCAGUGGUCAGAGAUGUCCGAAGAAUGAAAUCGAUUCCAUUAGGUGCUCAAAUGUAUGACGCAUGAAUGGAACCCUGUCUCCAUCCCACAUCUACCAGAGCCAGAAGGGGGCCCAGGAGCCUGUGUGUUCUGAAUAAGACUGCCCUUCCCCCAGCCACAUCACCUUUGGUAGAGUGAAGAAGGCCUUAGGAGCUCCACAUGUUGCUGGAAGGCCCUCAUCUCUCCUCCCCACACUUACUCUUCACCACCAUUAUUUGCCUAGAGAGCAUCAGGACCCAUCUUAUCUUUAAGGCUUUAUUUUGAUUUGCCUCAGUGGCUCCAAACAGUUCAGGCCCCCAGGCCAUCCCUUAUCUCCCAGACUGGAAAGCCCUUAUAGCUCUUUAUGGCCCUCUCCACCCUUUAUUUUUCCCCACAGCACCUGACAAAUAGUAAGGCCGAUUCACUCAUUUGUUGGACUUCCCCAACUGAGGGUGAGGUGUCUUGUUACAUUUGUUAACCGCUCUGCUCCCAGCAUAGAAGGUAUCUGGCAUAUAGUAGGUGCUUAAUAAAUACAUGUCCCAGGAAUGCAUGAACAAACAAAGCAUCUCCGAUGCCCUGUGUUUUGUGGGACUCAGUGUCCACUGCAGACCAGUUAGUCUUGUCAUUACCUUCCCAUCAAGGGCCUCAAUUACAGCCCCCCUGCAAUCCCCUCCCCCCCCCCCCCAGUGGCUUAUCACAACUCUCUGGCACUUUCAGAGCAUGGGCUUUGGAGACACACAGGCUCGGGGUUGCAUCCUGCUGCUGCCACCUGGAGGUUUUUAGCACCUCUAUACCUCAGUUUUGCCUGUUUGUAAAACUGGGACUUUGUGGUCAAGUGGAUUAAAUGGAAGUCUUGUGUAAAGGACUCCGCACAGCUCCAGGCACCCAGUUAAGUGUGCAGUAAAGGACAGUGGGCAAGCAGGGAGGCCACAGAGCAGGGUGGGGUGGCACAAAGAGGCUUCAUCUGCCUUCCAUCUGCUGUGGGUUGGUAGCCGAUGCCUGGAGCCCUGUGCUAAAAUGGAUUCUGGGCAGGCACUGAGCUCAGGGGGGAGUCCCGCAAUUGAUUAAUGAUGUCUGCCAUGGGCAUGGGUGCUGGAGGGUGUGGAAGAACAAGGAGAGUAGCAGACCCAGGCCACACAUUUGCCAUCCUGAUCUACAACUUGCGCCACGGCUCCUUUCCUUUUGUUCGUCUUGACUGCUUUCAAGAGUAAGAGCUCCUCUCUUUCCAGGAGCUCUUCCCUGACCUCACAGUUCUUCACACGCCCCCACCCUGAAAAGGGUAAGGUUUGCUCCUCUGAGCCCCCACACCUUUUCUGUGCUGUUCCUUUGUUAGUCACCAUAUAGCGUUUUGGAUGAUUUUUUUAACUUUCAGAUCUCCUGUCUGUAUAUAUGAGCUGAAAAAUGCCUUCAGGAAAGGUUUUGCCUUUGAGAACGGAUGUGGUAAAAUGAACAUGGUGCGCUGGAGUAGGAAUCAGGAAAUUUGACCUUGCUGUGUGAGUUUGAGCCCAUUGGCUUGCCUCUCUGAGCCUCAGUUUCCCCGAAUGAAAAUGGGAACCUUGAGUAAGCCGCCUUCCCCGCCCACUGUAUCGCAGCAUUUCAUAAGGCUCCGUAGAGAGUAAAAGCGUUCGUGUUGUGGUUGCAUACCCCUUGUGCUCUCCUUCUGCAGCUAAAACUGGAGCUUCUGCAGAUAUAUGUUGAUUUCAGCAAAGGAGUAGAAGAGAGCCUCAAAUGGGAGCAAUGGGCACUCUGGACGCCCUGACGCAGAGUCUGGAGAACGGAAAAGCCAACUUUUCUCCCCUUGUGCUUGCAAUUGGAGAAGAGUGAGGAGCCGGGAAAGGUAAAU